ACCACUCGCAGGUACACAAACUUCUCUCUUCUUUCAUGAUAUCGAAUGUUGGAUUUGUCCUGGUCCUGCUGAAUCAUAUUUUUCAUUGGAAAAUUUGGGCAUGAGAAGGAAAAAAAAUAUUUGCACCAGCUCUGGCGUGUGCCACAUGUUUGACAGGCAUAUACCAUGGGAUUCGAUGAAGAAGAGGAGCAGGUGUUGUUCACGGUCGUCGCUGAAGCGCCUAGGCCCUAGCAGCUGACUCUGAGAAGCAUUUGGCAUGUACCAAGGUAUCAAGACCUCCUCUUUCUUGCUUCUGAUGUUGUCCCUCCAAUCCUUUGUUUUACUCAGGACAUGAUGUUCCCAACUCACUCUCACUUGGGAGUUCUUAUCUGCCCUAUAGAGUAUAGACUGGUUAUGUACGAAAGAGACUCUGGAAGGGUUGAUUUAGUUUUUGCUGAUUUUGAAAACUAACACUACUGCUGAGUUCCUAAAGUCAUUUGGCAGGGAUUCUAUUUUGGGCUCAAUUGAAUCCAAGGUGUACAAGGUAGUCUGUUUUGCCAAUGCCAUCAGGUGGCUUUCGGUUCACCGGCCACGCGACCAACUGUAAAACUAUAGCUGGAAACCAUGUCUAGGAGGCAGGCAUAUGUGAGUCUAACAAUUGUGUCCAAUUUCAGUUUGCUAGCAAUUUUGCAACUGUUGUGUAGACCUUUUCAGCCAAGCGAAUAUUUUGAAUAUAUGUGCACAUAAGGGCCUAAAAAAGAAAAUCACUAGAGGAUUGGAGCUCUAAUAUGCAAGGAGAAGUUUCUUUCCAUGCUGGAGAUCAGUGUUGGAACCCCAGUCUUCCGCGAAGAUGCCCUUCAUAAAACCAAUGCUAACUGUUGAGCAGAUCAAUCAUGAUAGAUGUUUGAGUAAAUGAACCAGCAUAGGAUCUACUUUUGGUGGAAUGAUGGGCAGAGUUCACCAAUCAUCAACCCAGAAGGCUCUUUGGUACAACAGCAUUAACACUCUUGAAAGUGAUAAAGAAUGCAUGAGCACAAAGGUGCUGCUCAUUAAGUUGUGAUAUAUAAUGAUUGUAAUGGAAGCAAGUUGGUCAUUCCGUACUGUUUUGCUUAGUGCACAUGACAUAAACUUAUUCAGAUCAUGGACUUACGGGCAAAAUGUGUGAAGCCAGUCAAUGCGGAAACAGUUCUUUGGUGCCCUGUGCUUUUUUUCUUCACAUGCCUCUCUCGGUUUUAGUUACUAAUAGGUCAGAUUUUUUGAGAGAGAUGCACAAGGUCAUGGAGCCAAGGAACUGUGCCCUUUCUGCUAGAGAAAGGUGUGUGGGUUGUGGACCUGUGUUCUAUUUUCUUACCAUAUUACCAUAUGAUAUGUCCUUUUCACUAAACAUGUUGAUCAUUAUAUUGUUAUCCUAACUUUAUACACUCAAACCGAAUGUAUUUCAGUUUUGUGACAUAUGCAGAAUUUUAAAACAAUUUGGCUCCAACAUGUUGGCCACCCUGCCGCAAACCAUGUUAGUUCUUUAUGGCCUGGUUAGGUUUUGCUUGAAUGUUCUUCAGACAUGCAAUUAUUGUCUGAAGCAUGAAAUUGAGUAGAAAAUUGCAUGUUUGACACUCUAUGCAACACUGCGAGGUGCCUCUCUCACUCUUCCACGAAUGAUGGUUAGCUUGCACUCCCUGGUCCUUGCUCCUUCUUUUGGUUCAGACAUUCAGAUAUCUCCUGAACCUUCUCUGUCAGUAGUAAGGCAAUGGGGUUAAAGUGUCAUAGGAGUGCUUGCCACUUCUUUGCAUUGGUUGGUCACAUUGUUUCCACAACUUCCGGCGAACAUACGUUAACCCAAAUUGAAUCAUCAGAUCAGAGUAAUAUGCAUAGUCCUACGCAAAUU
Molecule: long non-coding RNA, 1861 nt
Organism: Lolium rigidum
Lineage: Eukaryota; Viridiplantae; Streptophyta; Magnoliopsida; Poales; Poaceae
Exons: 6
Source: RefSeq, a predicted model, not a curated record